Molecule: ribosomal RNA, 253 nt
Filed under: uncultured bacterium
Lineage: Bacteria
Description: partial 16S ribosomal RNA
Rfam family: Bacterial small subunit ribosomal RNA
Source: RNAcentral
CACGAAGGGUGCAAGCGUUACUCGGAAUCACUGGGCGUAAAGCGUGCGUAGGCGGUUCGUUAAGUCUGUUGUGAAAGCCCUGGGCUCAACCUGGGAACUGCAGUGGAUACUGGCGAGCUAGAGUACGGUAGAGGAAGGUGGAAUUCCCGGUGUAGCGGUGAAAUGCGUAGAGAUCGGGAGGAACACCAGUGGCGAAGGCGGCCUUCUGGACCAGUACUGACGCUGAGGCACGAAAGCGUGGGGAGCAAACAGG